RNAcentral lists this ribosomal RNA (2526 nucleotides) under Triticum aestivum (bread wheat). Its description in RNAcentral is "partial small subunit ribosomal RNA". The record is from RNAcentral. Lineage: Eukaryota; Viridiplantae; Streptophyta; Magnoliopsida; Poales; Poaceae.
AUGCGUCCCCUCCUCGCCCUCGCCGUGUGCGCCCUCCUCGCGGCGGGCGCGGCCGCCGCGGGGGAGGAUGCUGCGAACAGGACCAACAAGUUCCGCCAGCGCGAGGCCAGCGAUGACAUGCUCGGCUACCCCCACCUUGAUGAAGAUGCAUUGUUGAGUACCAAGUGUCCAAAACACGUGGAGCUGAGAUGGCAGACCGAAGUUAGUUCCAGCAUUUAUGCAAGUCCGCUGAUUGCUGAUAUCAACAGUGAUGGAAAGUUGGAAGUAGUGGUGCCAUCGUUUGUCCAUUACUUAGAAGUGCUUGAAGGUUCCGAUGGAGACAAACUACCAGGAUGGCCUGCGUUUCACCAGUCAAAUGUUCAUUCAAGUCCUCUUCUCUAUGACAUUGACAAGGAUGGCACACGGGAAAUAGUGUUGGCUACUUACAACGGUGUAGUGAAUUUCUUCAGGAUAUCAGGUUAUCUGAUGAUGGACAAGCUAGAGGUACCUCGUAGGAAAGUUCGUAAAGAUUGGCACGUUGGGCUAAAUCCUGAUCCAGUAGACCGUUCCCACCCGGAUGUUGAUGACAGUUCAAUUGCGAAACAAGCUACUUCUGAGGAAUCUCACCCAAACAUUCAGGACAAAUCGGUUGGAGAUGAAUCUUCAAAGGAACCUCAGUCACGAAGUACAACCAACACACCACAGGGAGCUGAUCCCUUGAAACAUCCAUCUGAGCUACAGUCAGCCGAAACAAAACCUAAUCCUACCGCUGAAAAGGAGAAUCCAGAGUUGCCAAAACAUCCGAAAACCACGACAGAGAGUGCAUCACAUGCUCAGAGAAGGUUGCUUCAAACAGCAGAUAAAAGUGAUGAUCAAACGGGAAGUGCAGAAACUCAUGGAAGUGAUGCAGGAACAACAGGAGAAUCAACUGUUGAAAAUGACGAGCCUUUAGAGGAGGAAGCUAAUGCAUCAUUUGAUUUGUUUCGGGAUGCAGAAGAUCUCCCUGAAGAGUACAGUUAUGAUUAUGAUGAUUAUGUUAAUGAUACCUGGUGGGGAGACGAGGAUUGGAAAGAACAAGAGCAUGAGAAAGAGGAAGAUUAUGUGAGCAUAGAUGCUCACAUAUUGUCGACCCCAGUAAUUGCAGAUAUUGACAAUGACGGUGUACAAGAAAUGGUUAUUGCUGUAUCUUACUUCUUUGACCGCGAGUAUUAUGAUAAUGCAGAGCAUUUAAAAGAGCUAGGAGGGAUUGACAUAGGAAAAUAUAUUGCAAGCAGUAUAGUUGUUUUUAACCUUGACACAAAACAAGUUAAAUGGACAGCAGAACUCGAUUUGAGUACCGAAAGCGGGAAAUUCCUUGCCCAUGCAUAUUCGUCUCCAACUGUGGUUGAUUUGGAUGGUGAUGGAAAUUUGGAUAUCCUUGUCGGAACUUCCUAUGGCUUGUUUUAUGUUCUUGAUCAUCACGGUAAGACUAGGAAAAAUUUCCCCCUUGAGAUGGCUGAGAUCCAUGCACCAGUCAUUGCAGCAGACAUCAAUGAUGAUGGUAAGAUCGAGAUGGUCACUGCUGAUGUGCAUGGUAAUGUAGCAGCUUGGACUGCAGAGGGAGACGAAAUCUGGGAGGUGCAUCUGAAGAGCCUUGUUCCACAGCGACCUACUGUCGGGGACGUCAAUGGAGAUGGCCACACUGAUGUUGUGGUCCCAACUGUAUCAGGAAACAUCUACGUUCUUAGUGGAAAGGAUGGCUCAAAAGUUCAGCCUUUCCCAUAUAGAACACAUGGAAGGAUCAUGAGUCCGGUCUUGUUAGUUGACAUGAGCAAACGUGGAGAAAAGACGCAAGGACUAACCCUUGCUACUACGUCCUUUGAUGGUUAUUUGUAUUUGAUCGAGGGCUCUAGUGGCUGUGCAGAUGUUGUCGACAUUGGAGAGACCUCGUACACUAUGGUUUUGGCUGACAAUGUGGAUGGCGGAGAUGACCUUGAUCUGAUUGUUACUACCAUGAAUGGCAAUGUCUUUUGCUUUUCCACUCCCUCACCGCACCAUCCUCUCAAGGAAUGGAGAUCAUCAAACCAAGGAAGGAAUAAUGCUGCAUAUAGGCACAACCGUCAAGGUAUUUAUGUUAAGCAUGGUUCCAGGACAUUCCGUGAUGAAGAGGGUAAACAUUUCUGGGUCGAAUUUGAGAUUGUAGACAAGUACAGGGUUCCCUAUGGGAAUCAAGCUCCUUACAAUGUCACGGUAACUCUACUCGUCCCUGGGAAUUACCAGGGAGACAGGCGUAUUGUGGUUAGUCAAGUCUACAAUGAACCAGGACACAAGCAGAUGCAGCUUCCUACCGUGCCCGUCAGAACCACAGGAACAGUGCUCGUGGAGAUGGUCGACAAACACGGGCUCCACUUUGCCGACGAGUACUCGCUCACCUUCCACGUGCACUACUUCAAGCUGCUGAAAUGGCUCGUGGUUCUGCCGAUGCUCGGGAUGUUCCUUGUCCUCGUCAUCCUACGACCCCAAGAAGGCGCACCGUUGCCGUCGUUUUCGCGGAACAACAUCGAUUAG